RNAcentral lists this ribosomal RNA (436 nucleotides) under Ercolania sp. 8 JEV-2014. Its description in RNAcentral is "partial 16S ribosomal RNA". It matches the Rfam family "Archaeal large subunit ribosomal RNA", at positions 1921 to 2665 of the family's 2987-position model. Lineage: Eukaryota; Metazoa; Mollusca; Gastropoda; Limapontiidae. The record is from RNAcentral.
AGCCUUAAGGAUCAUUUAAGGUAAAGCCUGCCCAGUGCAAUUUGUUAACGGCCGCAGUACCCUGACUGUGCUAAGGUAGCAUAAUCAGUUGGCUUUUAAAUGGAGUCGGGAAUGAAUGGAUUAAUGGGGCUCAGCUGUCUCUCCUAUAAUUACUUGAAUUUACUUAUUAGGUGAAAAUGCCUAUGUAUAGAAAAAAGACGAGAAGACCCUAGGAGUUUUUAUUAAAGAUUUUAGAAUAAAAAAAAAUCUACGUUUUUGUUGGGGCGACACGAGAAGAAAAUAAACUUCUCUAUUAAACAAGCCGACUAAGGUAUGAGUGAUUAAACUACCCUAGGGAUAACAGCGUAAUUCUUUAUGAGUUUGCGACCUCGAUGUUGGACUAGGAAUCUACUAGGCUAGCCGCCUAGAUAUAUUGUUCUGUUCGAACUUAAAUUCC